Molecule: ribosomal RNA, 540 nt
Filed under: fungal endophyte
Lineage: Eukaryota; Fungi
Description: eukaryotic LSU rRNA
Rfam family: 5.8S ribosomal RNA (bases 176-329)
Source: RNAcentral
UUACUGAGUUUACGCUCUAUAACCCUUUGUGAACAUACCUAUAACUGUUGCUUCGGCGGGUAGGGUCUCCGCGACCCUCCCGGCCUCCCGCCUCCGGGCGGGUCGGCGCCCGCCGGAGGAUAACCAAACUCUGAUUUAACGACGUUUCUUCUGAGUGGUACAAGCAAAUAAUCAAAACUUUUAACAACGGAUCUCUUGGUUCUGGCAUCGAUGAAGAACGCAGCGAAAUGCGAUAAGUAAUGUGAAUUGCAGAAUUCAGUGAAUCAUCGAAUCUUUGAACGCACAUUGCGCCCGCCAGCAUUCUGGCGGGCAUGCCUGUUCGAGCGUCAUUUCAACCCUCAAGCUCUGCUUGGUGUUGGGGCCCUACAGCUGAUGUAGGCCCUCAAAGGUAGUGGCGGACCCUCCCGGAGCCUCCUUUGCGUAGUAACUUUACGUCUCGCACUGGGAUCCGGAGGGACUCUUGCCGUAAAACCCCCCAAUUUUCCAAAGGUUGACCUCGGAUCAGGUAGGAAUACCCGCUGAACUUAAGCAUAUCAAUAA